This 460-nucleotide ribosomal RNA is filed under the name uncultured bacterium. RNAcentral describes it as "partial 16S ribosomal RNA". It matches the Rfam family "Bacterial small subunit ribosomal RNA", at positions 338 to 795 of the family's 1533-position model. The record is from RNAcentral.
CCUACGGGGGGCAGCAGUGAGGAAUAUUGGUCAAUGGACGAGAGUCUGAACCAGCCAAGUAGCGUGAAGGAUGACUGCUCUAUGGUUUGUAAACUUCUUUUAUAAAGGAAUAAAACGAGGCACGUGUGCCUUUUUGUAUGUACUUUAUGAAUAAGCAUCGGCUAACUCCGUGCCAGCAGCCGCGGUAAUACGGAGGAUGCGAGCGUUAUCCGGAUUUAUUGGGUUUAAAGGGUGCGUAGGUGGGUAAUUAAGUCAGUUGUGAAAGUUUGUGGCUCAACCGUAAAAUUGCCAUUGAUACUGGUUGUCUUGAGUACAUUUGAGGUAGGCGGAAUGCGUGGUGUAGCGGUGAAAUGCAUAGAUAUCACGAAGAACCCCGAUUGCGAAGGCAGCUUACUAAACUGUGACUGACAUUGAUGCUCGAAAGCGUGGGUAUCAAACAGGAUUAGAUACCCUAGUAGUC